Molecule: long non-coding RNA, 782 nt
Organism: Symphalangus syndactylus (siamang)
Lineage: Eukaryota; Metazoa; Chordata; Mammalia; Primates; Hylobatidae
Source: RefSeq, a predicted model, not a curated record
AUGAGACUUGGAGGCAAGGACACCAAACCAGGGGUUUUAGCUCCUACCCAUGGUACUGGAGGAGCAGUGAAAUGGAAUUGCCUGAAGAAAGAUGGAAAUACUGAGGUUCCAAAAAUGAAGAAAAGAACUGCAUUAAACUCAAGGAACUGAGUAUUUUGGGGACACAUUGCAAGAUUCAAAAAUUGGAAAAGGUCUUCUAGGAAUUACUUCUAUUAGAGGAGAAAUGAGUUCAAGGUCAAUGGCCUCUCAACAUAUUACUGGGAGCUAAGAACGAUCAGACCUGACAUUUACUGCAGGCCUACACAUUGUUCCAGAGCUAGCAAGCGUUCCUGAAGCAUUCGGAAUUGUCUGAUUUCACCAGAUGAAUAAUCCCUGAGGGACACCAUGGAUCCUGCUGGUCUAGGAUUGGCUCCAGCUUUUUCUGGAUCUGCAUUUGCUGUGCAACCCUGCUCGGCGGCUGAGAGAUGCUCUGGAGCUGUCUAGGCUAAACAGUCAUAAGAUUUUGACCCAAUGGUGAAUAGAGAGACAUCACAAAGGACACUAUACAUACUAAGUAGAUUUAAUAUGUCAGAGAAGAGGAAAACAGCAGAGACAACAAUACAUGGUCCAGGGUCUACUUGUACUCUGCAAGGGGUUGAGGCCUCAUCAGGAUUUCUUCAAAACCAUAUUGAGCAGCUGCAUAUUUACUUUAAACCAUUGUCUCCUCAUCUCUAGCCUACUCUUCAGUUCUCAAUCAGUAUGAUGACUCUUUUAGUCCCAAAAUUUUAUAGCUACCCAUCACA